UAAGCAUAUCAAUAAGCGGAGGAAAAGAAACCAACAGGGAUUGCCCUAGUAACGGCGAGUGAAGCGGCAACAGCUCAAAUUUGAAAUCUGGCUCCCUUGGGGGUCCGAGUUGUAAUUUGCAGAGGAUGCCUCGGGUGCGGGUUCCUUCCGAGUUCCCUGGAACGGGACGCCAUAGAGGGUGAGAGCCCCGUCUGGUCGGAAACCCAGCCCGUGUGAGGCUCCCUCGACGAGUCGAGUAGUUUGGGAAUGCUGCUCUAAGGGGAGGUAUACUCCUUCCAAGGCUAAAUACCGGCUAGAGACCGAUAGCGCACAAGUAGAGUGAUCGAAAGAUGAAAAGCACUUUGAAAAGAGAGUCAAACAGCACGUGAAAUUGUUGAAAGGGAAGCGCUUCCUACCAGACUUGGGUUCGGCGGUUCACCCGGCGCCACGCGCCGGGGCACUCCGCCGGCCCAGGCCAGCAUCAGCUUUCCGUCGGGGGCAAAGACGUUGGGAAUGUAGCUCCCCUCCGGGGGAGUGUUAUAGCCCGGCGUGUCAUACCCUUCGGGAGGCUGAGGUACGCGCUCCGCAAGGAUGCUGGCGUAAUGGUAGGCAGUGACCCGUCUUGAAACACGGACCAAGGAGUCAACCUUAUGUGCGAGUGCCCGGGCGUAAAACCCCAGCGCGGAAUGAAAGUGAACGUAGGUGAGAGCUUCGGCGCAUCACCGACCGAUCCUGAUGUCCUCGGACGGAUUUGAGUGAGAGCAUAUAGGGUUGGACCCGAAAGAAGAUGAACUAUGCGUGUGUAGGGUGAAGCCAGAGGAAACUCUGGUGGAGGCUCGCAGCGGUUCUGACGUGCAAAUCGAUCGUCAAACAUGCGCAUGGGGGGCGAAAGACUAAUCGAAUCUUCUGGUAGCUGGUUUCGUGAG
RNAcentral lists this ribosomal RNA (905 nucleotides) under Musicillium theobromae. Its description in RNAcentral is "LSU rRNA". It matches the Rfam family "Eukaryotic large subunit ribosomal RNA", at positions 35 to 963 of the family's 3401-position model. Lineage: Eukaryota; Fungi; Ascomycota; Sordariomycetes; Glomerellales; Plectosphaerellaceae. The record is from RNAcentral.